UGUAGUAUCUGUUCUUUUUAGUUUAAUAUCUGAUACCUCCUCUAUGUGAGGACAGUACAUUAAACAGAUGUUUGAGAUUAGGAAUUGGAAUAGGAGCUUGCUCAAUUCACUUCACCCAUUGACCUGG
This 127-nucleotide small nuclear RNA is filed under the name Mus spicilegus (steppe mouse). RNAcentral's name for it is "U2 spliceosomal RNA (ENSMSIG00000004095.1)". It matches the Rfam family "U2 spliceosomal RNA", at positions 32 to 159 of the family's 192-position model. From Rfam's summary of the family: U2 is a small nuclear RNA (snRNA) component of the spliceosome (involved in pre-mRNA splicing). Complementary binding between U2 snRNA (in an area lying towards the 5' end but 3' to hairpin I) and the branchpoint sequence (BPS) of the intron results the bulging out of an unpaired adenosine, on the BPS, which initiates a nucleophilic attack at the intronic 5' splice site, thus starting the first of two transesterification reactions that mediate splicing. Lineage: Eukaryota; Metazoa; Chordata; Mammalia; Rodentia; Muridae. The record is from RNAcentral.